RNAcentral lists this antisense RNA (78 nucleotides) under Streptomyces aurantiacus JA 4570. Its description in RNAcentral is "ASpks TB sRNA". It matches the Rfam family "ASpks TB sRNA". The record is from Rfam by way of RNAcentral. Lineage: Bacteria; Bacillati; Actinomycetota; Actinomycetes; Kitasatosporales; Streptomycetaceae.
CUUGACCGAGCCGAGCCACAGCGGCUCCUGGCCCUCCGGCCUGUCCUUGCCGUACGUGGCCAUCAGGGCCUGCGCCUC